GGAGGAGGCAAGCGUUGUCCGGAAUCAUUGGGGCGUAAAGAGCGCGUAGGCUGUUUUUCAAGUCAUAUGUGAAAACCUCAGGGCUUAACUUGAGGGACUGCAUAUGAAACUGGAAAACUUGAGUGCAGUAGGGGAAAGUGGAAUUCCUGGUGUAGCGGUGAAAUGCGCAGAUAUCAGGAAGAACACCGGUAGCGAAGGCGGCUUUCUGGGCUGCUACUGACGCUGAGGCGCGAAAGCUAGGGGAGCAAACAGGAUUAGAUACCCUGGUAGUCCUAGCUGUAAACGAUGGACAUUAGGUGUGGGGAGUUAUCGACGCUUUCCGUGCCGGAGCUAACGCAUUAAAUGUCCCGCCUGGGGAGUACGGUCGCAAAGACUAA
This 377-nucleotide ribosomal RNA is filed under the name uncultured organism. RNAcentral describes it as "partial 16S ribosomal RNA". It matches the Rfam family "Bacterial small subunit ribosomal RNA", at positions 527 to 897 of the family's 1533-position model. The record is from RNAcentral.